RNAcentral lists this ribosomal RNA (467 nucleotides) under uncultured bacterium. RNAcentral describes it as "partial 16S ribosomal RNA". It matches the Rfam family "Bacterial small subunit ribosomal RNA", at positions 28 to 506 of the family's 1533-position model. The record is from RNAcentral.
GACGAACGCUGGCGGCGUGCUUAACACAUGCCAGUCGAACGGAAAGGCCCUGCUUUUGUGGGGUGCUCGAGUGGCGAACGGGUGAGUAACACGUGAGUAACCUGCCCUUGACUUUGGGAUAACUUCAGGAAACUGGGGCUAAUACCGGAUAGGAGCUCCUGCUGCAUGGUGGGGGUUGGAAAGUUUCGGCGGUUGGGGAUGGACUCGCGGCUUAUCAGCUUGUUGGUGGGGUAGUGGCUUACCAAGGCUUUGACGGGUAGCCGGCCUGAGAGGGUGACCGGCCACAUGGGGACGGAGAUACGGCCCAGACCCCUACGGGGGGAAGGAGGGGGGAAUUUUGCAAAAGGGGGGGAAGCCUGAUGAAGCAACCCCGGUGGGGGGAGGACGGCCUUGGGGUUGUAAACCGCUUUCGCCGGGGAUGAAGGGGGGGGGGCGGUAAGGGGAAAAGAAGCCCCGGUAAACUACGU